RNAcentral lists this ribosomal RNA (431 nucleotides) under uncultured bacterium. Its description in RNAcentral is "partial 16S ribosomal RNA". It matches the Rfam family "Bacterial small subunit ribosomal RNA", at positions 29 to 506 of the family's 1533-position model. The record is from RNAcentral.
ACGAACGCUGGCGGCAUGCCUAACACAUGCCAGUCGAACGAGACCUUCGGGUCUAGUGGCGCACGGGUGCGUAACGCGUGGGAACCUGCCCUUAGGUUCGGAAUAACUCCCCGAAAGGGGUGCUAAUACCGGAUAAUGUCUUCGGACCAAAGAUUUAUCGCCUUUGGAUGGGCCCGCGUUGGAUUAGCUAGUUGGUAGGGUAAAAGCCUACCAAGGCGACGAUCCAUAGCUGGUCUGAGAGGAUGAUCAGCCACACUGGGACUGAGACACGGCCCAGACUCCUACGGGAGGCAGCAGUGGGGAAUAUUGGACAAUGGGCGAAAGCCUGAUCCAGCAAUGCCGCGUGAGUGAUGAAGGCCUUAGGGUUGUAAAGCUCUUUUACCCGGGAUGAUAAUGACAGUACCGGGAGAAUAAGCUCCGGCUAACUCCGU